Aedes aegypti (yellow fever mosquito) is the source of this 460-nucleotide long non-coding RNA. RefSeq lists it as uncharacterized. The transcript is spliced from 2 exons. The record is from RefSeq and is a predicted model, not a curated record. NCBI's taxonomy places the organism in Eukaryota, Metazoa, Arthropoda, Insecta, Diptera, Culicidae.
GGGUGGAUCACUUUUUCAGUGCACAUCUAAUGUACACCGACUUGCAUCAAAUGCAUUUUUCCUUCAUUGACAUCAACUUAGCCCUGAUAUCUGUAUCACUAUAUCAUCAUAGCAACACGUCAUUGUUUGUUGUGAAAAAAAUAAAAGUUUCCGAUGUUUCGAGGCUAGAAAUGUUGGUCAUCAAUUAAAUUAGUGGCAUAUUUGCUUUAAUGCAGUAUUUUGAGGCAUGUGAAGCAUGAAUGUUUUUUAACCGGCUAGUGAUUUAUAUUUUCUUAUGAUUGUGAUAGUUAAAUAAACAAUUCUUAAGAUAAUGAAAUAAUUCGAUUGGCAAAAUAAAUUCAUGAAGAAGAUAAGAAAUGCACCUAUAAUAACUUAUCAAUAAAUUUCCCAUAUGCUUACAUAUGGCGGUGGUUCUGCUAAACCAUAUACAGAUCCUUUUUGCACGGCAUAUACCAGUCAA